AAGACUAUAUUUUCAGGGACCAUUUCUGUAGUUCUUUACCAGAAAGGCCAUGGACUUGGCAUCAGAAGUCAAAGAAGAUUCCAGAGC
RNAcentral lists this small nucleolar RNA (87 nucleotides) under Erinaceus europaeus (western European hedgehog). RNAcentral describes it as "Small nucleolar RNA U3 (ENSEEUG00000022801.1)". Lineage: Eukaryota; Metazoa; Chordata; Mammalia; Eulipotyphla; Erinaceidae. The record is from RNAcentral.